CUCGAGGGCCGUCAAGUACCAGAUUAACAGUUGUUCCUUCCACAGGAGGCAUCGGAAUUAGAGGUUCCUGCAACUUAUUCUUUUAUCUUUCAAAUGCCCCUUGGCAAUCAUUAUUCUACCUGACCGUUUGAUCUCUCUUUUUUCCAACAGCUUGAGUGGGUUCACACGUGGCUAUUAGAUGAGAUAUGAACCGUGAAAUGCAAUUCAAUCUAUCUAAAAAACCACGAACCUUCUUUUGUUUUCGGUUCAGGCAUUUCUCGUAUUGCUUUUUCUUCUUUAUAUCUAUUUUUUUUUCUUUUUUUUUUUAGCAGGAUCGACCUCGAUUCCUCUUAUCCGCUCACAAUAAACCUCAGCAGUUUACCGGACAGCACUCCACAAGUGCACUAAUUCGGACUCAACCUCAGUCUGAGUUGUCUCGAUCCGGUCAAACAACUUGCCCCGGUCUACCGGAUUCCCUUCUUCUGCUUGGGACUUUGCUAUCAUGUCAUCAACAUAGCAUUUGAUUCCACGAUGAAUCAUAUCAUGAAACA
This 530-nucleotide long non-coding RNA is filed under the name Lathyrus oleraceus (garden pea). RNAcentral's name for it is "Pisum sativum (pea) long non-coding RNA (PSAT_LNC016310)". Lineage: Eukaryota; Viridiplantae; Streptophyta; Magnoliopsida; Fabales; Fabaceae. The record is from RNAcentral.